AGCUAUUUCUGCGUGAACUCCACUUGGAAUAACGUCUAGAAGAAAAAGUAAAACUUCUUGCCAUCGCUGCUAGUAUUUCGAAUUAAUUGAAUCAAAUCAAUCCAUUGGAUUUUUGAUAGCUUCGCUGGUUGCAGCGGCAUCGGCUCCUCCGUAGUGGUUGCAGAUGCGGUGGCCGUGGCAGAUGCGAUCGCCAUCGCCAGCAGAGCGAAAAUAAAGAGAAUAGCAACCUGCUUCAUUUUAC
Molecule: long non-coding RNA, 241 nt
Filed under: Drosophila guanche
Lineage: Eukaryota; Metazoa; Arthropoda; Insecta; Diptera; Drosophilidae
Source: RNAcentral